AACGAUGAAACUUAGUAGACUUCUUCGGAAAGACACUAAGCGGAUUAGUGGCGAACGGGUGAGUAACGCGUGAGUAACCUGCCUUACACAAGGGGAUAGCCUUUGGAAGCGAAGAAUAAUACCCUAUAAAACCAUAAAAGCACAUGCUAGAAUGGUCAAAGUGAUAGCGGUGUAAGAUGGACUUGCGUCUGAUUAGCUAGUUGGUGAGAUAAAAGCUCACCAAGGCAACGAUCAGUAGCCGGCUUGAGAGAGUGUACGGCCACAUUGGGACUGAGACACGGCCCAGACUCCUACGGGAGGCAGCAGUGGGGAAUUUUGCACAAUGGGGGAAACCCUGAUGCAGCGACGCCGCGUGAUUUAGAAGGCCUUCGGGUUGUAAAAAUCUUUUGUAUAGGAAGAAAAUGACAGUACUAUACGAAUAAGGUCCGGCUAAUUACGUGCCAGCAGCCGCGGUAAUACGUAAGGACCGAGCGUUGUCCGGAAUCAUUGGGCGUAAAGGGUACGUAGGCGGCUAGAAAAGUUAGAAGUCAAAGGCUAUAGCUCAACUAUAGUAAGCUUCUAAAACUAUUUAGCUUGAGAAAUGGAAGGGAAAGUGGAAUUCCUAGUGUAGCGGUGGAAUGCGCAGAUAUUAGGAAGAAUACCGGUGGCGAAGGCGACUUUCUGGCCAUUAUCUGACGCUGAGGUACGAAAGCGUGGGUAGCAAACAGGAUUAGAUACCCUGGU
RNAcentral lists this ribosomal RNA (723 nucleotides) under uncultured Anaerococcus sp. RNAcentral's name for it is "bacterial SSU rRNA". It matches the Rfam family "Bacterial small subunit ribosomal RNA", at positions 64 to 791 of the family's 1533-position model. The record is from RNAcentral. Lineage: Bacteria; Bacillati; Bacillota; Tissierellia; Tissierellales; Peptoniphilaceae.